GUGAUACUAUUUUGAGGUGGUCUUUUAAUUACAAGUUUAGUUUAUGGCUCAGCUUUAGUGACAAAGUCCUGAUUCUGGAGUCUUUUCAUGCAUUAAAUUUCAAACCUGAAAAACAAGUUCUUCCUGAGGGUAGGAAGUAAUAUGUAGGUACAAGGGGUUAAUCUGGGCUCAACUGGUUCCUUCUCUUGCAUGGAUGCUUUGACAAACAGGUCUCUGAUCCAGGAGCCAUAGGAUUUGAGUUUAACCUAUUAAGUAGGCCACCUUGUAUAAAGCCCUUAAGUAAUGACAUACGUCUACCUUGCUGUACAGACUUUGUUCCUCCUAGUCUCCCACCCUCUCCAACUUUAUUGUUCGGCAGGGCUGGAUGUUUUUAAGUGUGUAUAGAAGCACCUAUUUUUUUUUCCUUAGAGGAGCUGCCUUAUGUGCAAAAGUGAAGCCAAAUCAAGAAAGUUAUGAGAAAAGUCUAAAUUCAAGUGAGACUUCUCUCAGAGUGGGAGAAAAUUAUUAAGUCAUUAAAAUCUGAUGAGUAGCUUCUGUCUUGUUAAGGUUCACAGCUCCCAAGAGACAGAGCUCCAAUUGCAAUUUGCAACUAGGCUAGUUUAUAGAAGACUUAGGAGAUACUGGGGCAAAAUGGGACUAGGCACUGACCUGUCAGUGUAUAAUUUAAUACCCGUUGUUUUGUUUCCAAGAAGACUAGAAAGCUGCCCCCUCCCCCCUUUGUUUUAUCAGGGAGAUGCGGUAUCAAUGGUAAACUUCUGUUCAAAAUGGGUAAAGCAGGAGCUCUGCCAACUGAUGCUGUCUCUGGAGAGGUACAUAUCAGCUCCUAAGAUGGGAGAAGAGAUACUGAUUACUGGUCAGGUUGUGAAGCAAGGAAGAAGAAUUGCUUUCACCACCGCAGAUUUAACAAACAAAGCAACAGGAAAGAUAGUAGCACAAGGCAGACACACAAAGUACCUGGGACCUUAGUAGAAGGAAAUGAUCUGUAGAGAGAGAAAGCUUUGCCUUAAGAAAUCCAGUCUUCUGUUUUAAGGUAUAACUGAAGGCUAUUAGAUGGCCUAUAUUAAAUGGGUUUGGUCUCAGAUCCGGUACUAAUUGGCACUAAUUUUCAGCUAAUUGUAGUCCUUGACUACUCUGCCUGAAAGCUGGAGUUUGAUCUGCCAUUUUUGUGUCUGAAGAGAAUAAAGCAAAUCUUUCAAA
Gavialis gangeticus (Gharial) is the source of this 1197-nucleotide long non-coding RNA. RefSeq lists it as uncharacterized. Lineage: Eukaryota; Metazoa; Chordata; Crocodylia; Gavialidae. The transcript has 2 exons. The record is from RefSeq and is a predicted model, not a curated record.